AUACGUAGGUGACAAGCGUUAUCCGGAUUUACUGGGCGUAAAGGGCGUGUAGGCGGUCUUGCAAGUCAGAAGUGAAAUUCCUGAGCUCAACUCGGGCGCUGCUUCUGAAACUGCAGGACUUGAGUGCUGGAGGGGAUAGCGGAAUUCCUAGUGGAGCGGUAAAAUGCGCAGAUAUUAGGAAGAACACCGGUGGCGAAGGCGGCUAUCUGGCCAGUAACUGCCGUUGAGGCGCGAAAGCGUGGGUAGCAAACAGGAUUAGAUCCCCUGUUGUUCCACGCCGUAAACGAUGAAUACUAGGUGUAGGGGGUAUCGACUCCCUCUGUACCGCAGUUAACACAAUAAGUAUUCCGCCUGGGGAGUACGGCCGCAAGGUUGAAACUCAAAUGAAUUGACGGGG
This 397-nucleotide ribosomal RNA is filed under the name uncultured bacterium. Its description in RNAcentral is "partial 16S ribosomal RNA". It matches the Rfam family "Bacterial small subunit ribosomal RNA", at positions 523 to 918 of the family's 1533-position model. The record is from RNAcentral.